GGCAAAGGCAUGCUGCAAUAGCAUCGUUCCGAGCAGCUGGGGAUUUGCUCGUAUGGCAGCCUCUCUCGCUGAGAAGUAGAAAGCGAUGGUUACUUCAAGAAGCGGUAUCAAAAUCACUCCAUCAAGAACCCCCAAAGGAGAUUUUCUGAAGUUAUGUUCCCUGCACUACUUCCAUAAUUAAUGAAGGACUUCACGGAACUGGUAAAGUCAUUCUCUGAACAUCCAGGGAGGUAAGGUUUGCCUAGACUGUGCAUGGUAGAAAUGUAAACCCUUCUCAGAAAUUUGUUGUCAAAAAGAAAAUCCUGAAAAUUAUCUGUCUAUCUAU
Molecule: long non-coding RNA, 325 nt
Filed under: Zalophus californianus (California sea lion)
Lineage: Eukaryota; Metazoa; Chordata; Mammalia; Carnivora; Otariidae
Description: lncRNA (ENSZCAG00015023636.1)
Source: RNAcentral